RNAcentral lists this ribosomal RNA (253 nucleotides) under uncultured bacterium. RNAcentral's name for it is "partial 16S ribosomal RNA". It matches the Rfam family "Bacterial small subunit ribosomal RNA", at positions 524 to 776 of the family's 1533-position model. The record is from RNAcentral.
UACAGAGGUCUCAAGCGUUGUUCGGAUUCAUUGGGCGUAAAGCGUACGCAGGCGGCUAUUCAAGUCGGGUGUGAAAGCCCAGGGCUCAACCCUGGAAAUGCGCCCGAGACUGGAUGGCUUGAGUGCGGGAGAGGGAAGCGGAAUUCCUGGUGUAGAGGUGAAAUUCGUAGAUAUCAGGAGGAACACCGGUGGCGAAAGCGGCUUCCUGGCCCGACACUGACGCUCAUGUACGAAAGCGUGGGGAGCAAACAGG